Molecule: ribosomal RNA, 440 nt
Filed under: uncultured Alphaproteobacteria bacterium
Lineage: Bacteria; Pseudomonadati; Pseudomonadota; Alphaproteobacteria
Description: partial 16S ribosomal RNA
Source: RNAcentral
GACUACUGGGGUAUCUAAGCCUGUUUGCUCCCCACGCUUUCGUGCCUCAGCGUCAAAAAUUGCCCAGUUAGCUGCCUACGCCAUUGGUAUUCCUCCGAAUAUCUGCGAAUUUCACCUCUACACUCGGAAUUCUGCUAACCUCUUCAAUCUUCUAGAUUUGCAGUUUCAAAAGCAAUUCCAGGGUUAAGCCCUGGGAUUUCACUUCUGACUUGCAAAUCCGCCUACGCACGCUUUAAGCCCAGUGAUUCCGAACAACGCUUGCCCCAUUCGUAUUACCGCGGCUGCUGGCACGAAUUUAGCCGGGGCUUCUUCUGAUGUUACCGUCAUUAUCUUCGCAUCUGAAAGAGCUUUACAACCCGAAGGCCUUCAUCACUCACGCGGCAUGGCUGGAUCAGGCUUGCGCCCAUUGUCCAAUAUUCCCCACUGCUGCCCCCCGUAGG